CAGUAGCCACGGUAAUACAGAGGGUGCAAGCGUUAAUCGGAAUUACUGGGCGUAAAGCGCGCGUAGGUGGUUUGUUAAGUUGGAUGUGAAAGCCCCGGGCUCAACCUGGGAACUGCAUCCAAAACUGGCAAGCUAGAGUACGGUAGAGGGUGGUGGAAUUUCCUGUGUAGCGGUGAAAUGCGUAGAUAUAGGAAGGAACACCAGUGGCGAAGGCGACCACCUGGACUGAUACUGACACUGAGGUGCGAAAGCGUGUGGAGCAAACAGGAUUAGAUACCCCUGUAGUCCCUGUCUCUUAUAC
Molecule: ribosomal RNA, 301 nt
Filed under: uncultured bacterium
Lineage: Bacteria
Description: partial 16S ribosomal RNA
Rfam family: Bacterial small subunit ribosomal RNA
Source: RNAcentral